This 277-nucleotide ribosomal RNA is filed under the name uncultured bacterium. RNAcentral describes it as "partial 16S ribosomal RNA". It matches the Rfam family "Bacterial small subunit ribosomal RNA", at positions 524 to 796 of the family's 1533-position model. The record is from RNAcentral.
UACGUAGGUGGCAAGCGUUAUCCGGAAUUAUUGGGCGUAAAGCGCGCGUAGGCGGUUUUUUAAGUCUGAUGUGAAAGCCCACGGCUCAACCGUGGAGGGUCAUUGGAAACUGGAAAACUUGAGUGCAGAAGAGGAAAGUGGAAUUCCAUGUGUAGCGGUGAAAAUGCGCAGAGAUAUGGAGGAACACCAGUGGCGAAAGGCGACUUUCUGGUCUGUAACUGACGUGAUGUGCGAAAAGCGUGGGGGAUCAAACAGGAUUAGAUACCCGCGUAAGUCC